AAACGUCCUUAAUUCCCUAAGUUUGGUGCGAAUGAUAUGCUCAUCCUCAGUACAAACAGACUUUGUAUAGGAAGGAGUUUCCCUUUUUAUACCAAAUUAUCAAUUAUUGAAGCUAGUAUAUUACUGGUGUUUGUAGUUCUCGAAAUUGCCUCAUUUGACUUGUUAGCACCUAACUGUGUAAUUAAAUCUUUCUGACAUCUAACAUGAUUCUCCUGUACCAAGUCAGCCUCAAUAUUUUACAUGUACAACCUUUUACGUUGGCAGAACUGCCUUCUAAUAUGCGUAAUUUAUUUAAAGGUGAGGAGAAAAAUUCAACAUUUAAAAUAUAAUCAACACAUUCUGCCAUAUACUUAGACAGGCAUGAUUGGGAAUAGAAACAUUAAAUGUUAUGAGAUAAAUUUGGGAUAACUCUACAAAUGUCUCCCUCUUUUGCUGUGUCUUCCAUUUCAAAAAAUUGUAAUCCCCAUAAACAUAAUUGAUUACAAUAAUUAAAUAAUUCAUCUGUAGAAUGGACAAUGUUCUCAGAUGGGAUAUACCCAUAAUACUUCAAAAAAGAUUCCAAUAUUUCCUGUUGAACCCUUACUUUAUUAGUUUUAGUGGCAGAUGAAAUGUUAUCUGGAAUAAUAAGAUUAGAAGGGGGAGGGGUGGUCCUUUUCAUUUUGAAUAUCAAAAAACGACAAAAACUGCUCUACAAUGAGCCCCUUAACCACAAUUUUAAUUAAAUCUGCAUGACCCAGGAAAUUGG
Molecule: long non-coding RNA, 745 nt
Filed under: Mytilus galloprovincialis (Mediterranean mussel)
Lineage: Eukaryota; Metazoa; Mollusca; Bivalvia; Mytilida; Mytilidae
Source: RNAcentral